CGGCAUCCUCCUCGGCUACGUCUCCAACUACGCCUUCUCGCACCUCCGCGAGUCCCUUGGCUGGCGGCUCAUGCUCGGCGUCGGCGCCAUUCCUUCCGUCUUCCUCGGCCUCGGCGUGCUCGCCAUGCCCGAGUCCCCUCGGUGGCUCAUCAUGCAAGGCCGGCUCGCCGAGGCCAGGAAGGUCCUGGAGAAGACGUCCGACACGCCGGAGGAGGCGAAGCUCCGUCUGUCGGACAUCAAGAUCGCCGCCGGCAUCCCCGAGGACUGCGACGACGACGUCGUGCCCAUGCCCAAGAAAACCCGCAGCAGGGG
This 312-nucleotide long non-coding RNA is filed under the name Musa acuminata (dwarf banana). RNAcentral's name for it is "long non-coding RNA (MACU_LNC000381)". The record is from RNAcentral. Lineage: Eukaryota; Viridiplantae; Streptophyta; Magnoliopsida; Zingiberales; Musaceae.